Molecule: ribosomal RNA, 594 nt
Filed under: uncultured bacterium
Lineage: Bacteria
Description: bacterial SSU rRNA
Rfam family: Bacterial small subunit ribosomal RNA
Source: RNAcentral
CCUACGGGAGGCAGCAGUGGGGAAUCUUGCGCAAUGGGCGAAAGCCUGACGCAGCAACGCCGCGUGCGGGAAGAAGGCUUUCGGGCUGUAAACCGCUUUCAGCAGGAACGAAAAUGACGGUACCUGCAGAAGAAGGAGCGGCCAACUAUGUGCCAGCAGCCGCGGUGAUACAUAGGCUUCAAGCGUUGUCCGGAUUUAUUGGGCGUAAAGAGUUCGUAGGCGGUCGAGUAAGUCGGGUGUGAAAAUUCUGGGCUCAACCCAGAGACGCCACCCGAUACUGCUUGACUUGAGUUCGAUAGGGGAGUGGGGAAUUCCUAGUGUAGCGGUGAAAUGCGCGGAUAUUAGGAGGAACACCGGUGGCGAAGGCGCCACUCUGGAUCGAUACUGACGCUGAGGAACGAAAGCAUGGGUAGCAAACAGGAUUAGAUACCCUGGUAGUCCAUGCCGUAAACGGUGGGCACUAGGUGUGGGUUUCUAUUAACGAAAUCCGCGCCGUCGCUAACGCAUUAAGUGCCCCGCCUGGGGAGUACGGUCGCAAGACUAAACUCAAAGGAUUGAACGGUCUGAGAGUGCGAGACGACGACGAGGGAGAGG